UUUUUUUGGACCAAGGACCUCAAAUCAAAAUAUCCUAGGUCUCUAUCACUUAUGGUGUUCCAGUUUAAAAUACAUUUCAAAAUUUCAAAUACAAAAGGGGAAAUAACUCUCAUAUGGAGCGUUCAUAUUGCUUCAGUCGAAAUUGGACAAAUCAUGUGAAGGAUAUAACGAGCAAUUUUAUAAAAUAAAUUUGUCGUAAUCUUUUACGGUUGCGAAGGAGUCGUGAUCACAAGGAAAACAGUGUUUGGGGAGAUAACUCCUACAAAGAAAAGUAUUCGGUUACGUAGGGU
This 290-nucleotide long non-coding RNA is filed under the name Mytilus galloprovincialis (Mediterranean mussel). Lineage: Eukaryota; Metazoa; Mollusca; Bivalvia; Mytilida; Mytilidae. The record is from RNAcentral.